This 497-nucleotide ribosomal RNA is filed under the name uncultured bacterium. Its description in RNAcentral is "partial 16S ribosomal RNA". It matches the Rfam family "Bacterial small subunit ribosomal RNA", at positions 28 to 507 of the family's 1533-position model. The record is from RNAcentral.
GAUGAACGCUGGCGGCGUGCCUAAUACAUGCAAGUCGAGCGAACAGACGAGGAGCUUGCUCCUCUGACGUUAGCGGCGGACGGGUGAGUAACACGUGUAUAACCUCCCUAUAAGAGUGGGAUAACUUCGGGAAACCGGAGCUAAUACCGGAUAAUAUAUUGAACCUCAUGGUUCAAUAGUGAAAGACGGUUGUGCUGUCACUUAUGGAUGGAUCCGCGCCGCAUUAGCUAGUUGUUAAGGUAACGGCUGACCAAGGCAACGAUGCGUAGCCGACCUGAGAGGGUGAUCGGCCACACGGGAACUGAGACACGGUCCAGACUCCUACGGGAGGCAGCAGUAGGGAAUCUUCCGCAAUGGGGGAAAGCCUGACGGAGCAACGCCGCGUGAGUGAUGCAGGUCUUCGGAUCGUAAACCUCUGUUAUUAGGGAAGAACAAAUGUGUACGUAACUAUGCACGUCUUGACGGUACCUAAUCAGAAAGCCACGGCUAACUACGUG